Molecule: ribosomal RNA, 460 nt
Filed under: uncultured bacterium
Lineage: Bacteria
Description: partial 16S ribosomal RNA
Rfam family: Bacterial small subunit ribosomal RNA
Source: RNAcentral
CCUACGGGGGGCAGCAGUGAGGAAUAUUGGUCAAUGGACGAGAGUCUGAACCAGCCAAGUAACGUGAAGGAUGACUGCCCUAUGGGUUGUAAACUUCUUUUAUAUGGGAAUAAAACGUUCCACGUGUGGGAUUUUGUAUGUACCAUAUGAAUAAGGAUCGGCUAACUCCGUGCCAGCAGCCGCGGUAAUACGGAGGAUCCGAGCGUUAUCCGGAUUUAUUGGGUUUAAAGGGAGCGUAGGUGGAUUGUUAAGUCAGUUGUGAAAGUUUGCGGCUCAACCGUAAAAUUGCAGUUGAAACUGGCAGUCUUGAGUACAGUAGAGGUGGGCGGAAUUCGUGGUGUAGCGGUGAAAUGCUUAGAUAUCACGAAGAACUCCGAUUGCGAAGGCAGUUCACUGGACUGCAACUGACACUGAGGCUCGAAAGUGUGGGUAUCAAACAGGAUUAGAUACCCCAGUAGUC